This 254-nucleotide ribosomal RNA is filed under the name uncultured bacterium. RNAcentral's name for it is "partial 16S ribosomal RNA". It matches the Rfam family "Bacterial small subunit ribosomal RNA", at positions 524 to 776 of the family's 1533-position model. The record is from RNAcentral.
UACGUAGGGGGCAAGCGUUGUCCGGAUUCAUUGGGCGUAAAGAGCUCGUAGGCGGCUUGGCAAGUCGGGUGUGAAACCUCCAGGCUCAACCUGGAGACGCCACCCGAUACUGCCAUGGCUAGAGUCCGGUAGGGGACCACGGAAUUCCUGGUGUAGCGGUGAAAUGCGCAGAUAUCAGGAGGAACACCGGUGGCGAAGGCGGGACUCUGGGCCGAUACUGACGCUGAGGAGCGAAAGCGUGGGGAGCGAACAGG